Molecule: long non-coding RNA, 290 nt
Organism: Uranotaenia lowii
Lineage: Eukaryota; Metazoa; Arthropoda; Insecta; Diptera; Culicidae
Exons: 3
Source: RefSeq, a predicted model, not a curated record
AUCUACUAUUCUCCGGUUGAGAAACAAAGUCAGUAAAACAAAACAAAAAAUGCGUGCAUUUUCGCUAAUCGCAGCUUGUCUUGCGCUGGUCUCCAUCCUGUUUGGAAACGUUCACGCUACCGAGAGUGGAGCUCCGAAGAAGUUGGCACCACGUUCUGCUCCAUUGGCAUAUUGGUAAAGACAAUAUGAAAAAGUGUUGUGAACCGGUUACGUAAGCGUAAAAAGAGUUUUACAAAAAAAGACAAGUCGUAACAUAUUCGAUGUUGAAAUAAAAUAAAAAAGUGGUUUCA